UCCGUCGUAGCAAGACCCACCCGGGCAGACUUGCGCGAUUAAGGAAGGCAUCUGAUGUUUAUGUUUUUUUGAUUUUUAGCAUAUUAUGUUGCCUCCACAUUAUAUCACUUUUAAUUAUUAAAUAGUGAUUUUAUUCAUACCUAUUCGUAGCUCUAACAUUUCCUUAGCUCAAGCUCUGGUAUGCACAAACAAAAUUCGACCUUGGCUUUAUUUCGUGGCUUAUAUAAGUCUGGCACAGUUUGGGCGCAAGACUGCCAGUGUUUGGUGAGUUGCGGUUGCGGGAACACUGAUCGUCACCGUUCCGUUUCAGAUAAAUAGAAGGGGUACGCUAAAAAAAAAAUGAAAAAGAACAUCCCCCCACGUCCACCCAUAAUUCAAACACUGGUGAACGUUUUCGUGGGUCCAGUGCUACUGACAUCUGUAUUCCUAGAUUUAUCAUUCAGUUGUAAGCUCACACGUAAUGUGUAUAAAUAAACAAAUUUAUACACAUUUCAAAAUGUAUAAUGAAAAAAAAAAUGUCUUUUUGAGGAUAGAAUAAAAUGUCGAUUAAACAUUAUAAUAAA
This is a long non-coding RNA of Rhopalosiphum padi (bird cherry-oat aphid), 563 nucleotides long. RefSeq lists it as uncharacterized. The record is from RefSeq and is a predicted model, not a curated record. NCBI's taxonomy places the organism in Eukaryota, Metazoa, Arthropoda, Insecta, Hemiptera, Aphididae. The transcript is spliced from 2 exons.